Molecule: long non-coding RNA, 390 nt
Filed under: Sorghum bicolor (sorghum)
Lineage: Eukaryota; Viridiplantae; Streptophyta; Magnoliopsida; Poales; Poaceae
Description: long non-coding RNA (SBIC_LNC007779)
Source: RNAcentral
UGAGUUGAAGAAAAUAUCUGCCUGGAGAGAGAGGAAAGACUAGUAGUAUAAUAAGGACCUAGUACAAGUGCAAGGAGCACCACCUCCAUGGCUUCCUAGUAGUAACUAGUAACCAGUUCCUGCCUCCUGCUCGAGGCUGAGGCCUGCUAAGAAAUACAUGGUUCAAAUCCUAGCCAAAAACAAAAGUCACUAACCUUUCACACCAUCGAACAUGGAGACCUGAUCAUCCAUGGAGAGUGGCAAGUGGGUGAGAGUAAGGCAGCUGACCAUGGAAGAAGUCAAGAGAAGUAGCCAGGUGAGGAUUAACCACAUCGAAAAGAAGAAACUUUUCAGUAGUCAAGACCUGCAAGGAGAAAGCGUGCUUGUUGAGGGAGAGAGUGAAGCUAAACA